CACUCCUACGGGAGGCAGCAGUGGGGAAUAUUGGACAAUGGGCGCAAGCCUGAUCCAGCCAUGCCGCGUGAGUGAUGAAGGCCCUAGGGUUGUAAAGCUCUUUCACCGGUGAAGAUAAUGACGGUAACCGGAGAAGAAGCCCCGGCUAACUUCGUGCCAGCAGCCGCGGUAAUACGAAGGGGGCUAGCGUUGUUCGGAUUUACUGGGCGUAAAGCGCACGUAGGCGGACUAUUAAGUCAGGGGUGAAAUCCCGGGGCUCAACCCCGGAACUGCCUUUGAUACUGGUAGUCUUGAGUUCGAGAGAGGUGAGUGGAAUUCCGAGUGUAGAGGUGAAAUUCGUAGAUAUUCGGAGGAACACCAGUGGCGAAGGCGGCUCACUGGCUCGAUACUGACGCUGAGGUGCGAAAGCGUGGGGAGCAAACAGGAUUAGAAACCCUAGUAGUCCCA
Molecule: ribosomal RNA, 447 nt
Filed under: uncultured organism
Description: partial 16S ribosomal RNA
Rfam family: Bacterial small subunit ribosomal RNA
Source: RNAcentral